UAGCACCUACGGGGGGCAGCAGUGGGGAAUAUUGGGCAAUGGGCGCAAGCCUGACCCAGCAACGCCGCGUGAAGGAAGAAGGCCUUCGGGUUGUAAACUUCUUUUGUCAGGGACGAAGAAAGUGACGGUACCUGACGAAUAAGCCACGGCUAACUACGUGCCAGCAGCCGCGGUAAUACGUAGGUGGCAAGCGUUAUCCGGAUUUAUUGGGCGUAAAGGGUGCGUAGACGGAGAAGCAAGUUAGUUGUGAAAUCCCUCGGCUUAACUGAGGAACUGCAACUAAAACUACUUCCCUUGAGUACUGG
RNAcentral lists this ribosomal RNA (305 nucleotides) under uncultured bacterium. Its description in RNAcentral is "bacterial SSU rRNA". It matches the Rfam family "Bacterial small subunit ribosomal RNA", at positions 333 to 652 of the family's 1533-position model. The record is from RNAcentral.